This 4509-nucleotide long non-coding RNA is filed under the name Triticum aestivum (bread wheat). RNAcentral's name for it is "long non-coding RNA (TAES_LNC019345)". Lineage: Eukaryota; Viridiplantae; Streptophyta; Magnoliopsida; Poales; Poaceae. The record is from RNAcentral.
ACGAAUACUUCAAUCUCAUAAGAUGUCUCUGUGACUAUUAUAAGCCUGGAAUUGCAAUUCUAAGGCCUGGAGAUAGAUAGUAUAGUACAUGACAGUAUGCAGAACAGCAAGAGUAAACACUAGAAGGAUUUUAGGAUCCAAGCAAUUGUGUCCAUCGAGAUACCGUGCCUAAUUACAAGGCAGUGGCUUGGGUAAUUAACAUAAAGAUCCUAGCUAAUCGCAGCCACCAUAAGGGUCCAGCUACUGAAUCGGCUCAUGCUCAUGCUUGAAUCAGAAAGGGAGAAAGCUAAAAAAUAGAAAUUCUGAAUCGGACUGAACCAGACCAGAGCCAACAGAGAGAUGAGAGGGGUGGAACAGACCUUCCAUUCCAUGGCUGCUCUCCUGUACCAGUGGAUUUAGGCGUCGUCCCGUCGCUGGUUGCUGUACCUCACCUAUAGAGAAGAAGAGAAGGGAUGAAACGAGAUUGGGAUUAGGGGGGAGACGUUCAGAAAAGGAGAAGUAGAAGAGAAGGGGGAGGUGGGAUUCAUACCAUAGCACCGACCGUUGUCGAGGUCUUGGAGGCUGCGGUGGGUCGCCAUGGCCGUCGCUGGUCGCCGUUGCUCCUACUAAAAGGUGUUCGGAAGUAGAGCGCUUACCGGGGUAUCCGUAUGGUUGCAGUCAAGGCCGAUAUCUUCGGUGGUGUCCGGCCAUUGUUUUCGUUUCCCAAAAAAUAAUUUUCACAUUCCAUCGUGCGUAGUGCCGAAGAAGUGCUGAAGAGUCUGUGGCCCUUAUGGAUUAAACUCCCACAAGCGGAGAGGCUGUCGCUGGCACGACAGGGUCCGGCGGACUAGCAUUACCUGAACAACGUUGACAAGAUCGAUAUCCUUCUCAACAAGGCUUCGGAUACGACUCUGCAGAGUCCGCACUUCAUCAACUAAUCCCCAGUCCAAUCCCUUAUUAAUCCAUGAUGCAAGCUGAAUUGGGGGGCUGGACCGGAAUGCAGGCGCAGCUGCCCACUUGGAACCACGGGGCUCGGUGAUAUAGAACCACUCCUGCUGCCGUAAGCCGGAAGAUUCUGUGAAGGAUCCUUUUAGCCAAACAUCGCUGGUAAGCUUGCUCACUGGGGCACCACCACACUCCACCUGCUCCCCCUCUAUCACUUGCGGCUUUACAUUGAAGGUCUUGAGCCACAAGCCAAAGUGCGGAGGAGUUCGGAGGAAGGCUUCGCACGUGACGAUAAACGUCGAGAUGAGAAGAACAGAGUUCGGGGCGAGAUCGUGAAAAUCAAGUCCAUAAUAAAACAUGAGCCCCCGGACGAAGGGAUUAAGGCAAACCCUAAUCCUCGGAGGAAGUGGGAAACGAACACGACCCUCUCGCCGGAUCUGGGGGUAGGGAUAACCUGCCCUUCCGCGGGAAGCCGAUGGAGGAUUUUUGCGGUCAGAUAUCUUGCCGCCCGAAGCUUCGCAAUAUCCUCCUCUAUGACAGAAGAAGCCACCCACGGGCCCUGACGGCUGGAUCCGGACAUGACUAAGGCUUGUGGCGAUUGAAACCCGGGUGUUGGAACUCGAGGUAGUAAGGGUCGAGGAAGAAGCAAGCGUGGAGAAGAAAGACGGGUCUGUACCCCUUUAUAAAGGCCGUGAAUAUCGAACGCCUCCUCCUGGGCCUUAAAACUUGCCUAUUCCCAAGGAGUUGUGCCCUAAAGACGGUUGGGUUACCCACGCCCAUGUCGAUAAAGAAUCCCUUAAUAAAGGGACACGAUCUCUGCUUGGAUAAGACGUGCCAAUGACAACCGCGUCUCGGAACGUGGGGCAGCAGGCGAAAAAAACAAUUCGAAAUGAUGACCGGACUNNNNNNNNNNNNNNNNNNNNNNNNNNNNNNNNNNNNNNNNNNNNNNNNNNNNNNNNNNNNNNNNNNNNNNNNNNNNNNNNNNNNNNNNNNNNNNNNNNNNUGAUAGCAGCUCCAUGAACCCACCCUUAGUAGGUGACCCCAUCAACACCCCCUAACCGCCGCCGCCGCCGCCGGUGAGUUUUAGGUAGUGUGUAGUUGUUGUAGAAUUUUUAAUGUAAGCUUAUAGUAUAAGAUUUUAUUGUAGUUGCAGUGUAAGAGUAGUGUAGAAUAUUUAGUGUAAGAGCAGUGUAGAAUUUUUAGUGUAAGAAUAUAGUGUAAGAGUAGUGUAGAAAUUUUUAUGUAAGAUUAUAGUAAAAGAUUAUAGUGUAGUUUUAGUGUAGUCCUAUGUAGUGUAGUUGUAAUGUAAGAUUUUAGUGUAGCUGUAUUGUACAUUUAAUUACAUGGUAGAUUGUAGGUUUUCCAAGUACUCGUCAAUAUGUCUAAUUUUUACUAACUAGUUAGGUAUAUAUGCACCAUCACAGAUGGCUCCGAAGUUUCGUGGUGUACAACAGAAGGGGACUAAGUACCAUGCGACCAUUAGGAAGGACAAUGUUGUCCAUGAGCUGGGCCACUGGGAUACCCCCGGAGUCAGCGGUGCGCGCCUAUGAUGCCAAGGUAGUUGAGUUCUACCAGGAAGCGGCGGUUCUGAACUUCCCUGAGUGUCAUGAGUCACUACAAGAAAUAUGUCAACUUGUGACCACCACUAUUGGUCGCUGAAAGGUCAUAGUUUUUCAUUUGCGACCUUUUUGUGACAAAAAACAGAAGGUCAAAAGCUGGUGGUCGUAAACUGAAAUUAGUGACCUUCUUUGUGAUAUGUAAAAGGUCGUUGGUUCCAUGACCAAAUUUUUGGUCACAAGCAACCUCCCCAGACCACGAGGCAUCCAGCGUGGCAAGCUGAUGUGGCACAAGAAUCAGCCCGGUCCGAUUCAGUGUUUUACAUGGGCCGAGCCCAACAAUUCAGCCUAUUUGUGUUUUUUUUCUGUCUAUCAAUUUUUUAUUUUUGGUUGGGUUCAUGGGCCAAGCCCAAUAUUGCAGCCUUUUUAUUGUUGGGCCGUUGCCUUUUUGUCUCAACAGUUUCAUUUUUUCUUUUUAUAAAGUGGGUUCACUAGUCAGGUGGGUCCCCAUUGUCAGGUUCUAGUACUAGGUCCUAGCCGGCAAUAUUCUUCAUUUUUUUAAUUUAACACAAAUAAAUACCUAGUAUUUAAAUUGGCACACAGAACACACGAAAUACUUCAAAUAUUAUCAACCAUCAAAGUGCUACAUCAUAUAACACACAUACAAAUGUGAUCAGCAUCAAGUUUACAAUCAGAUAACAAGCUCCACAAGUGUACAAUCACAUGAGCCAGAUUCUACUACAUCAUAUAACACACAUACAAAUAGGAGCAGCAUAAAGGGCUUCAUUACUCUCAGAACUAGCUCCAAUGAGCUAGAACUAUUCUUCCUCCGACUUCUUUGUCCUGAUGCUCACGAAGAAACAUGAAAGCCCAGCAUCUGCACGUUACAUAACAAAAUGUUUAGGAACAAAAUAGAAGUAAAUCUAACAGCAUAUUUCACAAUAAAUAGCCCAGCAUCUGCACGUUACAUAACAAGAUGUUAAUAUGCCAUCAUACUAGUUGAUAGACAAACAUUCCAGGAAGAAUUGAUGCUUGUUUAAUGGGUACAAUCAAUACUGCUAUCUCUAACAGACAAAUUUAAGGUUUUUAAUACAUUUUUUCUAUUAGCAAAACUGAAUAUGCUACUUCCUGAUGCAUGGCUGCAUAGUCCAGCUAGCUACACCAGUUUGCUCUCAUGCAAAAAUUAGAAAGAAAAAAAAGAACAACAAAUAAAUCAACACUGAUUUCUCUAACACGUACAGUAACUUGAUGAUAUAACUUUCUCCUAAUUGCAUUCUCAUAUGAAUGGGCCAACAUGUGAUGUUACUAUUCGGUGUGCUAUUGGCCGAAGCAAAGGAAGCCUCACCCACGCCUUGUACUAAUGCAACUAGCUUAAUUGAUUUUUCCUACUUAGAAAUAGUACUACACUUUGACUUGCUUCAACUCAGCCGAAAGCUUCAUACUAGCACAACCAGCAACAAACUAGCACUAGCCAGAACGAAUCAGGAGGCCAGCAAAGGGACACCAGGUUGAUCCCACAAAAAAAACACCGGCGAUUGAGAAAGAUACCUCGAUACCCAGCCACAAGCACAUCCGUAGCAGCUCCAGCGACGAUAGCAGAAGGACCAAGCAUCCAGCCACGGCUACGACUAUGGAUGGCAAAGAAGCCACUGACAGCAACUGCAGCAAAGGACACCUACCCGGCCUUGUCUACAACAAUCAACAAACCAGAAAUCAGAACGAAUACUUCAAUCUCAUAAGAUGUCUCUGUGACUAUUAUAAGCCUGGAAUUGCAAUUCUAAGGCCUGGAGAUAGAUAGUAUAGUACAUGACAGUAUGCAGAACAGCAAGAGUAAACACUAGAAGGAUUUUAGGAUCCAAGCAAUUGUGUCCAUCGAGAUACCGUGCCUAAUUACAAGGCAGUGGCUUGGGUAAUUAACAUAAAGAUCCUAGCUAAUCGCAGCCACCAUAAGGGUCCAGCUACUGAAUCGGCUCAUGCUCAUGCUUGAAUCAGAAAGGGAGAAAGCUAAAAAAUAGAAAUUCUGAAUCGG